Molecule: ribosomal RNA, 323 nt
Filed under: uncultured Chloroflexota bacterium
Lineage: Bacteria; Bacillati; Chloroflexota
Description: bacterial SSU rRNA
Rfam family: Bacterial small subunit ribosomal RNA
Source: RNAcentral
GAUGAACGCUGGCGGCGUGCUUAAUACAUGCAAGUCGAACGGAGGUAUGUAGCAAUACGUAUCUUAGUGGCGAACGGGUGAGUAACGCGUUGGUGACCUACCCCAGAGAGGGGGAUAACAGUCCGAAAGGAUUGCUAAUACCGCAUGUGGUCCCCGGGUUUAGAAACCGGUGACUAAAGCAGCAAUGCGCUUUGGGAGGGACCUGCGUCCCAUCAGCUAGUUGGUGAGGUAACGGCUCACCAAGGCGUCGACGGGUAAGGGACCUGAGAGGGUGGUCCCUCACAAUGGCACUGAAACACGGGCCAUACACCUACGGGUGGCUG